RNAcentral lists this ribosomal RNA (552 nucleotides) under Geryon trispinosus. Its description in RNAcentral is "partial 16S ribosomal RNA". It matches the Rfam family "Archaeal large subunit ribosomal RNA", at positions 1923 to 2694 of the family's 2987-position model. The record is from RNAcentral. Lineage: Eukaryota; Metazoa; Arthropoda; Malacostraca; Decapoda; Geryonidae.
GUCUAUUUGAAGGUAUUAAUAGUCUGGCCUGCUCACUGACAUUAUAUAAUGUUAAAGAGCCGCGGUAUCCUGACCGUGCAAAGGUAGCAUAAUCAUUAGUUCUUUAAUUGAGAACUGGUAUGAAUGGUCGGACAAGAGAAACCCUGUCUCUGCUGUUAUAGUAGAAUUUAACUUUUAAGUGAAAAGGCUUAAAUUUUUCAAGGGGACGAUAAGACCCUAUAAAGCUUUAUAUAUUAAUUAGAAUUAAUUAAAUUGAAUAAAUAAAAAUUUAGUCUUAAAAGUAUAUUUAGUUGGGGCGACGAAAGUAUAAUUAAUAAUAACUGCUUAAACUUAAUACAAUAAUAAAUGAUUUUUUUUUAAUUGAUCCUUUUUAAAGAUUAAAGACCAAGUUACUUUAGGGAUAACAGCGUAAUUUCUUUUGAGAGUCCCUAUCGAAGAAGAAGUUUGCGACCUCGAUGUUGAAUUAAAAUAUCUUUAUAGUGCAGCAGCUAUAAAAAGAAGGUCUGUUCGACCUUUAAUUUUUUACAUGAUUUGAGUUCAGACCGGCGAGAG